GGUAUUUUGAAAAAAAUUACCAAAAUAAUUGAAACUGGCAAAAUUAUAUUGUGUUAUUUUGACAAAUAAAAUAUGCAGAAUUUUAAAAUAUUGUGUGCAGGAUUCCCCCAGGAGUAACAUAGGUUGCAAGGCUGUGGAGAAUCAGGCUAGCUAAAUACAGGAUUGGGCCUGCUUGAAUGAAUUAUUAAGUAAUGUGUUCUGAGCAAUUAGAGUCAGCAGUUAACAGACAGCUCUUUCCUUUUGGGAAAGGACAUUGCUCAUUUAUAAAGGUCUUUUCAAAUGUUGCUGGUCUAAAACUAUUACUUUUUGAUUAACUUCACUUAGAAAUCAGCCUUUUUUAAGAUCCUGAGAUGGGGCAAAGCUCAACAGCUCAGCCUUCAUGUCCGCAUGAUCCUUAGCCUCUUUUCGGUGAGACUGCCAACAGGAGACAUGAACCUUAUCUGCUAUGAACUGGACUGAUGCCACAAAUUCAUUUAACAUAUAGGCCACGGUACAGUCAGAAGGCAGUUUUUAAUGAGACUCUUUAUAAAAGGGCUGCUGAGCUAUGACAGUUUAAAACAAGGAGGAUUUUCAUAGCAUAAACCUCAAGCAUUGAAAAAUCCAUCUGAACCCUGGGAGAGGCACUGAGCAGUACCACUUGUGCCCCUUGUGCUGAAUCAACACUUCUGGAAGCAGCACUAGAGUGACUGAGCAGAGGCUGCCAAGUGAACAAGACAAGAG
Mauremys mutica (yellowpond turtle) is the source of this 720-nucleotide long non-coding RNA. RefSeq lists it as uncharacterized. The transcript is spliced from 4 exons. The record is from RefSeq and is a predicted model, not a curated record. Lineage: Eukaryota; Metazoa; Chordata; Testudines; Geoemydidae.